AAGAGAACUUGCCCUUCGGGGUAGAUCUCCCACCCUUUGUUUAUCAUACUUUGUUGCUUUGGCGGGCCUGCCUCACGGCUGCUGGCGCAAGCUGGCUCGUGCCCGCCAGAGACCCCCAAACUCUGAAUAUUGUCGUCUGAGUAAUAUAUAAUAAGUUA
This 158-nucleotide unclassified non-coding RNA is filed under the name uncultured Neofabraea. RNAcentral's name for it is "sequence contains ITS1". The record is from RNAcentral. Lineage: Eukaryota; Fungi; Ascomycota; Leotiomycetes; Helotiales; Dermateaceae.